This 459-nucleotide ribosomal RNA is filed under the name uncultured bacterium. RNAcentral describes it as "partial 16S ribosomal RNA". It matches the Rfam family "Bacterial small subunit ribosomal RNA", at positions 338 to 795 of the family's 1533-position model. The record is from RNAcentral.
CCUACGGGAGGCAGCAGUGAGGAAUAUUGGUCAAUGGUCGGGAGACUGAACCAGCCAAGCCGCGUGAGGGAUGAAGGUACAGAGUAUCGUAAACCUCUUUUGUCAGGGAACAAAGGCGGGGACGCGUCCCCGGAUGAGUGUACCUGAAGAAAAAGCAUCGGCUAACUCCGUGCCAGCAGCCGCGGUAAUACGGAGGAUGCGAGCGUUAUCCGGAUUUAGUGGGUUUAAAGGGUGCGCCGGCGGUCUGUUAAGUCAGCGGUCAAAGCCCGGGGCUCAACCCCGGCCCACCGUUGAAACUGGCAGUCUCGAGUUGGAGAGAAGUAUGCGGAAUGCGCGGUGUAGCGGGGAAAUGCAUAGAUAUCGCGCAGAACUCCGAUUGCGAAGGCAGCAUGCCGGCUCCACACUGACGCUGAGGCACGAAAGCGUGGGUAUCGAACAGGAUUAGAUACCCCUGUAGUC